This 998-nucleotide ribosomal RNA is filed under the name Mycolicibacter sp. S76. RNAcentral describes it as "bacterial SSU rRNA". It matches the Rfam family "Bacterial small subunit ribosomal RNA", at positions 80 to 1076 of the family's 1533-position model. Lineage: Bacteria; Bacillati; Actinomycetota; Actinomycetes; Mycobacteriales; Mycobacteriaceae. The record is from RNAcentral.
UUCGGGGGUACUCGAGUGGCGAACGGGUGAGUAACACGUGGGUGAUCUGCCCUGCACUCUGGGAUAAGCCUGGGAAACUGGGUCUAAUACCGGAUAGGACCUCGGGAUGCAUGUCUCGUGGUGGAAAGCUUUUGCGGUGUGGGAUGGGCCCGCGGCCUAUCAGCUUGUUGGUGGGGUGAUGGCCUACCAAGGCGACGACGGGUAGCCGGCCUGAGAGGGUGACCGGCCACACUGGGACUGAGAUACGGCCCAGACUCCUACGGGAGGCAGCAGUGGGGAAUAUUGCACAAUGGGCGCAAGCCUGAUGCAGCGACGCCGCGUGGGGGAUGACGGCCUUCGGGUUGUAAACCUCUUUCAGUAUCGGCGAAGCUCCGAGGUUUUCUUCGGGGUGACGGUAGGUACAGAAGAAGCACCGGCCAACUACGUGCCAGCAGCCGCGGUAAUACGUAGGGUGCGAGCGUUGUCCGGAAUUACUGGGCGUAAAGAGCUCGUAGGUGGUUUGUCGCGUCGUCCGUGAAAACUCACAGCUUAACUGUGGGCGUGCGGGCGAUACGGGCAGACUUGAGUACUGUAGGGGAGACUGGAAUUCCUGGUGUAGCGGUGGAAUGCGCAGAUAUCAGGAGGAACACCGGUGGCGAAGGCGGGUCUCUGGGCAGUAACUGACGCUGAGGAGCGAAAGCGUGGGGAGCGAACAGGAUUAGAUACCCUGGUAGUCCACGCCGUAAACGGUGGGUACUAGGUGUGGGUUUCCUUCCUUUAGGGAUCCGUGCCGUAGCUAACGCAUUAAGUACCCCGCCUGGGGAGUACGGCCGCAAGGCUAAAACUCAAAGGAAUUGACGGGGGCCCGCACAAGCGGCGGAGCAUGUGGAUUAAUUCGAUGCAACGCGAAGAACCUUACCUGGGUUUGACAUGCACAGGACGACUGCCAAGAUGUGGUUUCCCUUGUGGCCUGUGUGCAGGUGGUGCAUGGCUGUCGUCAGCUCGUGUCGUGAGAUGUU